Molecule: ribosomal RNA, 401 nt
Filed under: Zygosaccharomyces bailii
Lineage: Eukaryota; Fungi; Ascomycota; Saccharomycetes; Saccharomycetales; Saccharomycetaceae
Description: partial small subunit ribosomal RNA
Rfam family: Eukaryotic small subunit ribosomal RNA
Source: RNAcentral
GCUUGUCUCAAAGAUUAAGCCAUGCAUGUCUAAGUAUAAGCAAUUUAUACAGUGAAACUGCGAAUGGCUCAUUAAAUCAGUUAUCGUUUAUUUGAUAGUUCCUUUACUACAUGGUAUAACUGUGGUAAUUCUAGAGCUAAUACAUGCUUAAAAUCUCGACCUUUUGGAAGAGAUGUAUUUAUUAGAUAAAAAAUCAACGUCUUCGGACUCCUUGAUGAUUCAUAAUAACUUUUCGAAUCGCAUGGCCUUGUGCUGGCGAUGGUUCAUUCAAAUUUCUGCCCUAUCAACUUUCGAUGGUAGGAUAGUGGCCUACCAUGGUUUCAACGGGUAACGGGGAAUAAGGGUUCGAUUCCGGAGAGGGAGCCUGAGAAACGGCUACCACAUCCAAGGAAGGCAGCAGG